Long non-coding RNA from Patella vulgata (common limpet), 267 nucleotides. RefSeq lists it as uncharacterized. The transcript has 3 exons. NCBI's taxonomy places the organism in Eukaryota, Metazoa, Mollusca, Gastropoda, Patellidae. The record is from RefSeq and is a predicted model, not a curated record.
CUGACACAUCACCAUUAACGACGUCUACCAUAAUACCACCAACGACGUCUACCAUAAAACCACCAACGACGUCUACUACAACACAAUCAACAACACCCGAACAAGGCGACCCAAUUUGCGAUGCGUUCGACGGCAAUUGUCGUGUAACCUGUGAAAAGGGGGAAUCUAAUUUUGUAUCGUGUACGAACAGUGACAGAUGCUGUGUCCAGCUGUGAUAAACUAUAAGUACGAUGAUUUAAAAUCCAUAGACACACACACACGUCUUCU